UACAGAGGGUGCGAGCGUUAAUCGGAUUUACUGGGCGUAAAGCGUGCGUAGGCGGCUGAUUAAGUCGGAUGUGAAAUCCCUGAGCUUAACUUAGGAAUUGCAUUCGAUACUGGUCAGCUAGAGUAUGGGAGAGGAUGGUAGAAUUCCAGGUGUAGCGGUGAAAUGCGUAGAGAUCUGGAGGAAUACCGAUGGCGAAGGCAGCCAUCUGGCCUAAUACUGACGCUGAGGUACGAAAGCAUGGGGAGCAAACAGG
RNAcentral lists this ribosomal RNA (253 nucleotides) under uncultured bacterium. Its description in RNAcentral is "partial 16S ribosomal RNA". It matches the Rfam family "Bacterial small subunit ribosomal RNA", at positions 524 to 776 of the family's 1533-position model. The record is from RNAcentral. RNAcentral also lists the same sequence under 1 other name.